GCUGGGUGUGGUGGCGCGCACCUGUAGUCCCACCUACUCCGGAGGCUGAGGCAGUGGGAUUGCUUGGACCCAGGAGGUGGAGGUUGCAGUGAGCCGAGAUUGCCACUGCACUCCAGCCUGGGUGACAGAGCAAGACUCUGUCUCAA
This 146-nucleotide signal recognition particle RNA is filed under the name Gorilla gorilla gorilla (western lowland gorilla). Its description in RNAcentral is "Metazoan signal recognition particle RNA". It matches the Rfam family "Metazoan signal recognition particle RNA". Rfam says of the family: The signal recognition particle (SRP) is a universally conserved ribonucleoprotein. It is involved in the co-translational targeting of proteins to membranes. The eukaryotic SRP consists of a 300-nucleotide 7S RNA and six proteins: SRPs 72, 68, 54, 19, 14, and 9. Lineage: Eukaryota; Metazoa; Chordata; Mammalia; Primates; Hominidae. The record is from Rfam by way of RNAcentral.